CCAGCAGAGAGAAGAGGGACAGGUAGAGGAGACCCUCCACCCCGUCAUAGCACACGCCCAUCAGAGCGUCCAGGUAGUCCUGUGGAGGGGUGCAUUUGUGACAGUGACAAAUUCCCCAAGGACUAGUUGGGAACAGGAUGGAACCGGUGGCAGGACCCUCACUCUGUCCCCACUGCCCCGUUACUCUAGGACCAUCAGCGGGAGGAGAGGAUCACACUGCACAACCUGACUAAUCCAAUUCACAUGAGGCUGCAUGUGAAGGGUGUAACUUACCACUGCUGUGGCAGUGCCUGCUCCCAGGGACACCCAGCUAAGGAUCAACGUCAGCACCCCAAACACCAUGAUCCUGAAGACACACAUGGACACACUUACUGUAGACAUCUUUUUCUAAAUGAAACACCAUAAAAAUGACAUAACGUUUGUAUAUUCUGUAUGUAUACU
Molecule: long non-coding RNA, 441 nt
Organism: Alosa sapidissima (American shad)
Lineage: Eukaryota; Metazoa; Chordata; Actinopteri; Clupeiformes; Clupeidae
Exons: 3
Source: RefSeq, a predicted model, not a curated record